RNAcentral lists this small RNA (271 nucleotides) under Staphylococcus aureus. RNAcentral's name for it is "5'UTR". Lineage: Bacteria; Bacillati; Bacillota; Bacilli; Caryophanales; Staphylococcaceae. The record is from RNAcentral.
CGCCAACAUUACCAACUAGUAUUACAAUGACACCAAUUAAAGCAGGUAAAAUAAUAUUUGAGCCUCUUUGCAAACUAUCGAUUAACGCAUUACUUGUUGCUAAAUGCUCCUCAUCAAUAAUUUCAGGAAGAAUUGCCCUAAACGCAGGAUCCGUAUAGCAGUUAAUAAUGGUGAUAGCUGUAGAUAUGGUUAGAAGCGUCAGAUAAUUUAAAUUUGAUGUUAUUGCAAGUAAAGGAAUAAUUAUAAUAAUCAAACUUAGUAUAAGAUCAGA